Molecule: long non-coding RNA, 1476 nt
Filed under: Junco hyemalis (dark-eyed junco)
Lineage: Eukaryota; Metazoa; Chordata; Aves; Passeriformes; Passerellidae
Description: lncRNA (ENSJHYG00000012250.1)
Source: RNAcentral
CCAAUCCUUAACAACCAUUUCUGGAAGCAAAUUCCUCCUGAAUUCCAACCUGAACCUCCUCUGGCACAGCUUGAAGCUGUGUCCUCUCACCCUGGUUGCCUGGGAGAAGAACCCUCACCUUGCUAAAACAUUCUUUUAGCUGGUUGUAAAGAGUGAUAAGGUUUCCCCUGAGCCUCUCUUCUCCAGACUAAACAGCCUCAGUUCCCUCAGCUUCUCCUCAUAUGAAUUACUCUCUAGAUCCUAAAAAGAAAUGUGAGGUUUCACUGGAAGUCAGUGGUACUUAGGCUCUAAAGUUACUUACAUGCAUUUAAAGCUAUAUUCAGUGAUUUGACAAGCAAUUUAUGGAUAAACUAUUAUUUCUAAGCUAAACAGAAUUUCAGGCUAAUUUUAAGAUUAUUCUUAAGUGUCCCUAAAUCUAAUAAGAUAGAUAAGUUCAUCAUUGCACCUAUAAUUAUCCUAAUAUAUUUACAUGUCCUUUUAACACCUGUUUUAGGCUGUUUGCAGUGUUCUUAAUAAAAAGUUAGAUAUGAUCUGUGUACUGUCAGAACGACUCCACACCAUGCACGCCUAUGUAUAUAUAUACACACAUCAUUCCAUUUCACUAACUGCUUUUACUGUUGUGUAAAAAAGCUUCUUUACUUUCUAGAAAUGGAAUCUGUUCUCAUUCUUCACAGGAAUGACUACCUCUCCCUCCUAGAAAAAUGGUGGAACUGGUAACCCAGAGCUUGCUUGGGAUGUGGAUAUCUGUUAAAGGCCUUCCUUUAAAUCAGGGACCUGAUUUCAGAUCUGCCUCCUAUGGAAAUAUACCCACAACAAAACUCCUGAAUAUAUUGCAGUGGGCAUCUCAGUCUCUUCUGCAACAGCCCCACACACUGCAACAGGUAUGUGACCACAAAUCUGCCUCUUUCAAGCUGUUAGACUUUGCCAGAGGUUGUGCUCGGAAUGUGCUUCCCAUCCUGUCACUUACCCACAAUGUUCAACUCCACUCUGAACUCCAGGACCUCCUUUGGGUGUUCUUUUACAAGAGCUACAGCUUCUGUGUGUGAAGGACUUGGAUUUCUAAAAGCAUAACCCUAAAGGAUCCAAAAGGACAGAGAAAAUGGGACUUCUAAUGCAAGAGGCAGAAUGAAGAAUACUCAGAACCUCUCUGUACUUAAAGAAGGUGAUGCCAUAUGAUAGUUUCACUGCACUGGACAUCCUUUUUGCCUGAAAAACUAAUUUUGUUAGAAAUUUAACUGGAAAUGACUUCUCUCUGGUAUCUUAAUUUCCUUGCAUUAAUUGGAAGCUGCUAUGUGGAAUUGUGUGUGUUAAUGUAUUUGGGGCCUUUAUUGCAGAUGCUCUGUGCUUAACUUGCAUGAGGAGUGGGCAAUUUCUCUUGCACUUUUUCUGAAUUCCUUUGGUGAAAACACUAGAAAUUUUGAUAGUACUUGACAGGCCUGGAAUAAAUGCAAUAAAAAUCAGCUCUUUAGUUUUAUA